RNAcentral lists this ribosomal RNA (567 nucleotides) under Streptomyces sp. 340H05. RNAcentral's name for it is "bacterial SSU rRNA". It matches the Rfam family "Bacterial small subunit ribosomal RNA", at positions 93 to 671 of the family's 1533-position model. The record is from RNAcentral. Lineage: Bacteria; Bacillati; Actinomycetota; Actinomycetes; Kitasatosporales; Streptomycetaceae.
UAGUGGCGAACGGGUGAGUAACACGUGGGCAAUCUGCCCUUCACUCUGGGACAAGCCCUGGAAACGGGGUCUAAUACCGGAUAACACUUCGCUGCCGCAUGGCGGGGGGUUAAAAGCUCCGGCGGUGAAGGAUGAGCCCGCGGCCUAUCAGCUUGUUGGUGGGGUGAUGGCCUACCAAGGCGACGACGGGUAGCCGGCCUGAGAGGGCGACCGGCCACACUGGGACUGAGACACGGCCCAGACUCCUACGGGAGGCAGCAGUGGGGAAUAUUGCACAAUGGGCGAAAGCCUGAUGCAGCGACGCCGCGUGAGGGAUGACGGCCUUCGGGUUGUAAACCUCUUUCAGCAGGGAAGAAGCGAGAGUGACGGUACCUGCAGAAGAAGCGCCGGCUAACUACGUGCCAGCAGCCGCGGUAAUACGUAGGGCGCAAGCGUUGUCCGGAAUUAUUGGGCGUAAAGAGCUCGUAGGCNGGCUUGUCACGUCGGAUGUGAAAGCCCGGGGCUUAACCCCGGGUCUGCAUUCGAUACGGGCUAGCUAGAGUGUGGNAGGGGGAGAUCGGAAUUCCU